UGAACUUAAGCAUAUCAAUAAGCGGAGGAAGAGAAACAAACAUGGAUUCCCCUAGUAGCGGCGAGCGAAGCGGGAUGAGCCCAGAUUUGAAAGCUCCCUUGCGGGCGCAUUGUAAGCUGGAGACGUGCCUCGUGCGGUGCGGCUGGACGCCAAGUCUGCUGGAAAGCAGCAUCAGAGAGGGUGAGAAUCCCGUGCUUGGUCUGGCCUGGUGCCGUGUUGUGGGGUGCGCUCGACGAGUCGCGUUGUUUGGGAAUGCAGCGCAAAGAGGGGUGGUAAAGGCCAUCCAAGGCUAAAUAUGGGGGAGAGACCGAUAGCGAACAAGUACCGUGAGGGAAAGAUGAAAAGCACUUUGGAAAGAGAGUUAAAGAGUACGUGAAAUUGCCAAAAGGGAAGCGUUGGAAGUCAGUGCCGGAGCGGCGCCGCGUCUGCCCCUCUCGGGGGGUGUACUGUGGCGGCGUGGGGCCCAUGUCGGUUGUGUGUGGGGGAGAAGGCGGCGCGGAAGGUGGCUUUCCCUUUGGGGGGAGUGUUAUAGCCGCGCUGUGGAUGCCCUGCGGACGACCGAGGACUGCCGUGUGGUGGACAUGGGCUUAAUGGCUUUCAGCGGCCCGUCUUGAAACACG
This 620-nucleotide ribosomal RNA is filed under the name Moniliella sp. RNAcentral's name for it is "LSU rRNA". It matches the Rfam family "Eukaryotic large subunit ribosomal RNA", at positions 29 to 663 of the family's 3401-position model. Lineage: Eukaryota; Fungi; Basidiomycota; Moniliellomycetes; Moniliellales; Moniliellaceae. The record is from RNAcentral.